GCCGCGUCCCCGCCCCUUCCGCCCCAGGCCACGCCCCUUCCGCCCCGUCUCCGGUUGCCCUGGUUACCGCUCGCUUCCUGCGUCUCCUGGUUCCGCUGACAGAAAUGGCUAACGGAGCGCUGAGGGAGUGUUCCACGGACUGCCGCGCGCGGAGCUGGGAGCCGCGGCGAGCGCGGGGACUUGGAAAACGCGGAAGGAGUGCAAAACCAGCAUGUGAUGACAUGGAAAACCUCCUGGCUCUACCUGUCACAACUUAAAAUUGACAUUAUUUUGGGAACCUAGCAUAAACAAAAGCAUGGUUUAAGAUUGUAUUAAAAAGUGUUAUUGGGAGCUGGAGCUGUGGCAUGGCAGGUGAAGUCACCACCUGCAGUGCCAGCAUCCCAUGUGGUUCGAGUCCUGGCUGCUGCACUUCUGAUCCAGCUCUCUGCUAAUGGCCUGGGAAGGCAGUAGAAGAUGGCCCAUCUUUGGGCCCCUGCACCCACGUGGAAGACGUGGAAGAAGCUCCUGGCUCCUGAUCAGCCCAGCUCUGGCCGUUGCGGCCAGCUGGGGAGUGAACUGGCGGAUGAAGGACCUUUCUCCCUGCCUCUCCUUCUUUCUCUGUGUAACUCUUUCAAAUAAAUGAAAUAAAUCUUAAAAAAAAAAAAUAAUAACUGUAGGAGUAAAAGGGAAAGCUUCUGAAUGUCACAGGUGAAUGGCUGAGUAUCUUACACUAUAUACACACACCAUAUAAUGUUAUGCACAAAUACAGGUAGGCCUGUAAUGUUGAGAGGAAUUGCUAGGUAUAUGGAAUGAGCUGAAUUUUUAAAGUCCCUAUAACCAUUUGCAUGCAUGUUUGUUUACUUAAGGCACAGAAGGAUUCAUCCAGAAGUGCUGAUGUCCUUCAUGUGGGUGGGACUGAGGAGGGAGAAUAAAGGAGGGGCAAAUAAAUGUUCUAAAAAAGUA
Molecule: non-coding RNA, 942 nt
Organism: Oryctolagus cuniculus (rabbit)
Lineage: Eukaryota; Metazoa; Chordata; Mammalia; Lagomorpha; Leporidae
Source: RefSeq, a predicted model, not a curated record